AUUGAACGCUGGCGGUGUGCUUAACACAUGCAAGUCGAACGGUAGCAGGCCUUCGGGCGCUGACGAGUGGCGGACGGGUGAGUAACGCGUAGGAAUCUGCCUCAUAGUGGGGGACAACGUGGGGAAACUCACGCUAAUACCGCAUACGCCCUACGGGGGAAAGCGGGGGAUCUUCGGACCUCGCGCUAUGAGAUGAGCCUGCGUUAGAUUAGCUAGUUGGUAGGGUAAAGGCCUACCAAGGCGACGAUCUAUAGCUGGUCUGAGAGGACGAUCAGCCACACUGGGACUGAGACACGGCCCAGACUCCUACGGGAGGCAGCAGUGGGGAAUAUUGGACAAUGGGCGCAAGCCUGAUCCAGCAAUACCGACG
This 370-nucleotide ribosomal RNA is filed under the name uncultured bacterium. RNAcentral describes it as "bacterial SSU rRNA". It matches the Rfam family "Bacterial small subunit ribosomal RNA", at positions 30 to 401 of the family's 1533-position model. The record is from RNAcentral.